This 302-nucleotide ribosomal RNA is filed under the name uncultured bacterium. RNAcentral describes it as "partial 16S ribosomal RNA". It matches the Rfam family "Bacterial small subunit ribosomal RNA", at positions 508 to 807 of the family's 1533-position model. The record is from RNAcentral.
GCAGCCGCCACGGUAAUACAGAGGGUGCGAGCGUUAAUCGGAUUUACUGGGCGUAAAGCGUGCGUAGGCGGCUUCUUAAGUCGGAUGUGAAAUCCCUGAGCUUAACUUAGGAAUUGCAUUCGAUACUGGGAAGCUAGAGUAUGGGAGAGGAUGGUAGAAUUCCAGGUGUAGCGGUGAAAUGCGUAGAGAUCUGGAGGAAUACCGAUGGCGAAGGCAGCCAUCUGGCCUAAUACUGACGCUGAGGUACGAAAGCAUGGGGAGCAAACAGGAUUAGAUACCCGUGUAGUCCCUGUCUCUUAUAC